Molecule: long non-coding RNA, 10445 nt
Filed under: Capsicum annuum
Lineage: Eukaryota; Viridiplantae; Streptophyta; Magnoliopsida; Solanales; Solanaceae
Description: long non-coding RNA (CANN_LNC003429)
Source: RNAcentral
AAAUCGAGUCAAAUUUUACCUCAAAUUGGAGAUUUCAACCCCGAGAUCUAUUCUACCCAAACUCGAUGGUUUUCCCAAUGAGUUUUUGGAGUUGGGAUCGAUUAACUGACUAUUUUUUGUUGUCGUUUCAACAUUUUGGGAUGGGAUAGGACUGACAGCUUCAUCGGAGCUUUGGAAAGCUUAGGGGUAGCAAGAAUCGAGAAUGCGACUGGCGGCGAUGAAGUUUUCUGGUGAAAACUUAUUUAAAUUUCCUUUCGCAUAUUUCUUCCUUAUUAGUUCUCUAAUCUCUCCCUCCCUGAUCUCUGUUUUUCUCAAAUCUCUUCCAUCCCGAUCUCAUUCUCUCUCUCUCUCCUUUUAAUUUCACUUUCUUUCUUGAUCAAAAUUAUGUGUGUCUGUGUAUUUUUUUAAGAGAAGGAAAAAAAAUAGAGAUCCGUCUUGUGUUCUCUCUCCAUUUCUAUACGUAUAUGAUAUGCUAUCUUGAAGCAAUAAAGUGAGGUGAGUGUGUACGUGUGUGGUGGAAGAAGACAAAGGUGUGGAGAAGAAACUAUGUGUUGUGUGCGUAUUCAGUGAAGUCCCCAAAAAAGAAUCAGCCGUGGUGUCUUUAUUGUGGAAGAAUGGAGUCAAUCCGUGGGCCCCCUAGUAUGCUAAUAUCAUGGUGAGGUCCAUUUUUUAUAGCAUGUGUAUUGUGUCAAAAUAGAAAUUCCCAUGGGUUCCAUGUAUGAAUGUGAGGUGUUAAUAUUCUAUGAUGGAUGGAAAAUUCCAUGAUGAAUGAAAUUGGGAGUCUUUUUUAUGUGGGUCCCCUUGUAUUGUGUUCUCUUCCCCUUUGGUAAAGGCCAAAACCGUGUAAAAUAAAUAUGGGGGGUGGGGUCAUAUGGGUAGGUGGGGUAGGAGGGUAUUAGGGUGUGAGUGGUUAAGGGAUGAGAUAAAAUUUGUUAUUAAUUUGUUGAGAGUUGGUUGCUAUUUUUGUCAUUUUGUGGAGGGAUAAUUACACGGUUGAGGGUACACGGUAGGAGAAGAUAAAAUGAGUAAAAGUGAUCUUUCGGAGGGACAAAAUUACAUGUCUACAUCAUGCCCCCAUUGGAUGUAAACACAAAGUGUUUUCAGACAAAGAAGUAGACAACGAGAUCAAAUUUUGACCCGAUCAUUAUUCAAAGAAAGAAACAGAAGAAAGAAAGGAAAUCGGGUCUAGACUUAGGACGUCCUACCUACCCAAGUUAUGAGGGAAUCAAGUCAUGGGUAUCUCAAAGGAUUGGAAAGAGAAGGACUAUACUGAGUUGGAAAGUCGAGUGAGGUUCCAUCGAGGUUCCGGUCCGCAGCUCUGUCAUUACAUCAAAAUGAAAAUUACAAAUUAAAAACAUAAAAGAAAUUACCAAAACUCUAUCUAUGCAGCUUUCCUUGACUUUUGACUCGCUACUUCAUCACCCUAUUCUUCAGGCGGGCUCUUGACUUGCAAUUUCUUCACUUGUUGCUUGGUUUUAAAUGUUUUCACCCUGUUCUUCAGGCAGGUUCCUGACUUGCUAUUUUUCAAUCUGUUGACUUUCAAUUUCUUCGCCUUGUUUCUUGACUUUCAACUUCUUCACUAUGUUACUUGACUUCUUAUUUAUUCGCCCUGUUCUUCAGGCGGGCUUCUUAAAUCACAUCAAAACUAAAAAGAAAAUCCCAAACAAAGAUUAUUAUAAAGGACUUUUGUGAAAGUCACAUCAUUGUAAGAAUCAAGGAGAAUGACUCGUCUAAAAGGUACGUCUUAUAGGAAUCAGGGGAAUGACUCGACUAAAAGGUACGUCUUAUAGGAAUCAAGGGGCAUGACUCGAGUAAAAGGUAUGUCUUAUAGGAACCAAAGGGGAUGACUCAACUAAAAGUUACGUCUUCUAGGGGUCAAGGGAAGUGACUCUAAUAAAAGGUACGUCUUAUAGGAAUUAAGAUGCGACUCGACUAAAAGGUACAUCUUCUAGGGGUCAAGGGGGAAUGACUCGACUAAAAGGUACGUCUUAUAGGAAUCAGGGGAAUGACUUGACUAAAAGGUAUGUCUUAUAGGAAUCAAGGAAAAUGACUCGACUAAAAGCACAUCUUCUAAGGGUCAAGGGAAAUGACUCGACUAAAAGGUAUGUAUUAUAGGAAUCAAAGGAGUGGCUCGACUAAAAGGUACCUCUUCUAGGGGUCAAGGGGAAUGACUCGACUAAAAGGUACAUUUUCUAAGGGUCAAGGGAAAUGAAUCGACUAAAAGGUAUGUCUUAUAGGAAUCACAGGAGUGACUCGACUAAAAGGUACGUCUUCUAGGGGUCAAGGAGGAAUGACUUGACUAAAAGGGACGUCUUAUAGGAAUCAGGGGAAUGACUCGACUAAAAGGUAUGUCUUAUAGGAAUCAAGGGGGAUGACUCAACUAAAAGGCAUGUCUUAUAGGAACCAAGGGGGAUGACUCGACUAAAGGUAUGUCUUAUAGGAAUCAAAGGAGAUAACUCGACUAAAAGGUACGUCUCCUAAGAGUGAAGGUUCAAUUUGAGAAGUGUAUCACCUAGCAAAUGAAAAAUUGAAAUCCCUGAACAAGUGUGUCUCCGAGGGAUAUAGGAUGAUAAAUUUUUACCAUGAUUUUAUUAUCAAACCUGUACAGCAACAUUGCUUUCUGCAUUUGUAAAAGUGAGGCAUUGCAACCCUUGAUGUUUAUGCUAUGAAGUUCUUUCUUUGAAGGUAGUAUGUUUCCUGUUUCAUCAAACAAAACUUGUGAGUUUGAAACAUGGUGGCUGAUUUGUGGCUUUAGCUUUCGCGGAGAUCGCCGUUUCCCUCAUCACAUUAAUCUUGCUUCCAACCAUUACAUAUAUCAUUGACUUGAUGCAUCAUUGACCUAAACUCAGAUCAUUAAGAGUGACUUUGAAACAAACACAGUAUCUUUGCAUUGCCAUGCUCUUCAGAUAAAUCCUUUAAACUUUGGUAUUUCCAUGAGUUCCCAGACUUGUCUGUUGACAAAACUUCUGCAUGCCCUUUUUCGGCUCACAAUCAUGUCUCUUUCAUAUGCUAGCUUUGUCUUGCUUUGUGCAAUUAAAGAAGCUAGUAGUCAGUUUUGAAAUCUUUUCUCACUUGUUUCGACAUGGACUUGACUCAAAGACUAGAGAAAAAAUGACAAUGAUUUUAUUUGGAUAACUGACUCAAUAAAAUAAAAAUAAAAAAUAAAGAAAAGACAAUGAAUGUCCCCAUUUGAAACAAAGAAACAAAAAAUUUAUCUAGAAAUAACAGUCAACUCUAAUGAUUAUGCCAUGCAUUUUGGAUUAAGCUGCCUGAUUUUUCCAUUCAAACUUUCUACCAAUUGUUGUUGAGUUAACUGGACUUAAAACUGAGUUGUUUCCUUAGGUCAAUUGCUUUUAAGACUUCAUUUGGCUAGUGACACCUUGAAAGGUUUUCGCCAACAAGCCUUCCUUAUUUUUUUCAGCUCACCAUUGUCUUACGGUGUUCGUUAGGCUUUUUCACCAAUGAGACUCUCUUAUUUUUAUUUCUCUCAACUCCCAGUCGUCUUAUAGUGUCCGUGAGGAUUUUCACUGAUAAGACUCUCUCAUUUUUAUCUCUCUCAACUUACCAUCAUCUUAUGUUGCUCGUGAGUGUUUUCACUAAUAAAACUCUCAUUUUUAUUUCUCUCUUGAUUACUUAUGCUGAGGAAGACAAGUAGUUCCCAAAUACAUCAUCAUGUCCCUUGCAUGCUUAGCCUUAACAUCCUCAAAGAUUGAUCUGAAGGUCUUUCUUUGGUUGUAAAUUGGAUUUCGGAAAGGAUUAGAAAGAAAGGAUGACAUGAGGCCCAAAUGACACUUGAAGUGGGGUGGGAUUUACAACUUUUGAAAUCGACUCAAACAAUGAGGAUCAACUCAUGCCCUAGUUUCUUUUGACUAGGCAAUACUAAAUUGUUUAUUGGUUAGACUGAGCUCAGAGUAGGGAAGCCUACGUAUCUCACCCCCAAGAGAGGAGAAUCAGGUCACGCUUAGUUCUGGUGGCUUGUUCUUUUGCUUGAUUUUGAUUUUUUAUUUUUUUCUUUUGUUGACUCUUCUAUUGACUUUUUUUUUCUUUCUGGGACCUUCUGACUCUAUUUUUUUCUUAACGCUCUUUUCUUUUCCUUCUUUUGGACACAUUUUUUCUCUCGUUUCUUUUUGAAACUUUCUAACUCUAUUAUUUUGCUCGACACUUUUAUUUUGAGCUUCGCUAACUCUAUCUUGAUUCCAAAAGAGGGGUAUGAAAGAAAAUAGGACUAAAGCUCAAAUGGGGUAAACAAAGGAUGACACGAUAUUUGGAUAGCAGAAUGAAAUGUCUUUGUCAUAUCAAUCCUUCAAAAUGCAAGUACAUAUCAUGCAAUAUGAAAGUGAGAGAUGAAGAUCAUUUGUGAUAUUUUUACAACACUAAUUUUAACUGAGACUGUACGUCGAUACUUCUUCUGCCAACUCCAUCUUUGUUGUACAUUCCUCAUGCUUUCGUGGAGCUAAUUUUUCUAUUCCUUUUGAUGUAGGAUCACACAUCCACUAUUUGACCUAAUUGAGACAUGUCUUUCAAAUGCUGACCAAGUUAUUCUCAAAAUAAUUGCCUUAAUUUUCAAAGAAGGCUUCAAUUUGAUCACCAAAUGCCCCAGCACUCUAUCUAUUUUCUCAGACGCUCUCUUUUUCUAACUUUAACCCUCUGAUUCAAUGCUCAUUCUUAAACUAGAUUUUAAGAUCUGACUGAAAAUUUUGCUAGCAUGUCAUAUCGCUAGAAUCAACAUAAAAUAUAUUGUAUAAAGAAAACAAACAAACGACACAUUUAAACACAAAGAAAAAGGGACAAUUCAUUUAGUUGAAAUAAAAGAUAGAAGGGUUUGAACAUAAACAACAAAAGGAAAAAACAAGAUAGAUCCCGAACUACAACCCUGAAAUAAUUCAAAAAAAUAGAAAAGAAAACAAAACAAACUACCAGACCUCUUCCUAGUAGGGAGAGGGGUGACUUCUCAAUUGCUCAGCCUGACAACUUAGCCACUGGUUUGCAUAUCAGCAUGACUAAAGCUUGCCUCACUGUCAAUGUUCUACACCAUAAUUGAUUCAUCUUGAAUCAUCUUUUCAAAUUCUUUUUUCAAAUCUCAACAAUCUUCAAUACUAUGACCCUGAGCAUCAGAAUGAUACCCACAUCAUACAUUAGGAUCAAAAUUUCUUGAACACCGAUUAAGAGUGCACCCAAGGAGAGGAGUGAUUAUGCCCCAUUGUACCAAUCUUUGAAAUAAACUGGCACUCUCUAAUUGGUGCAAAGAUAUCUCUUGACUUCUGCCUCAUUUCAUCGUUUAGCUUGGAUGAAAAAUCAGGCUUAGAAGGAUUUUAGUAUGUUUGUGGAGUUAGAGGACGACUCUGAGGAGUUAGUGCGUUCCACUAUGGGCAACAUGGGGGUUGAACAUAUGGCAGUGCAUUAUAUACUGGUUACGGAGGUGGAGGAGCAGAGUAUAAUGGAUUUUGGGAGUGAUUAUGUGGAGCUUGGGCAUGAACUUGGGUUUGAGCCUGAGAGUGACGACAAUGGGGUCUUCUUGACCUUCUUCGCCGUCCAACUACAAUAGAAAAUGCAUCUUCCUCAUUCUUUGUCACCCCAAUGCUUCCUGCACCCUUUUGAAUUGCUUGAGUAGUCGCUUUCAAUGUUGAAAAACUAACAAUGCGACCAAUCUUAAUUCCAUCCUCUAUCAUCUCUCCUAUUUUGAGGACCUCAAUGAAUGGCUUGCCUAAUAUAGGAAACAAGUGUUGAUAAUAUGUUUCAUCCUGCGCUUGAAUAAACACCUCCACUAUCUUUCUUUCUUUCAUUGGUGAUUUCGCCCUAGAUGCUUGUUCAUGCCAUCUGAUCGCAUACUCCCUGAAAUUCUCAGUAUUCUUCUUCUUCAUACUGGUUAAGGAUUUUUCAUCAGGAAUUAAUUCCACAUUAUAUUGAAAUUGUUGCACAUAUUCAUUAGCUAAAUCAUCCCAACUAUUCCACCUAUCAAUAUCCUGAUCAACAAACCACUCUGAGGCUAGACCCAAAAGACUCUCACCAAACAAAGUCAUGAGCAGUUCUUCUUUGACUUCAACAUCUCUUAGUUGGUUACAAUAACGUCUCAAAUGCACCGCCGGAUCCCCGCGUCCAUCAUACUUCUCAAACUUUGGAAUCUUAAAACCAAAAGGGAGAUGAAUACCUGGAAACAUGCACAGAUCUUUAUAUAAGACACUUUUGUACCCCCUAGGCCUUUGGAGAUUCCUCAUAGCCAGUUGAAAACUUCUCAAUUUUCUGGUCAUUUAUUCUUGUUCUUCUUUCAUAACAGGAUUUUCGGCAUUAAGAGCAAAUUCAGGUGGAUGAGUGUACCCAUAAGGAUCAGUCGACUUAAAUGUGAGCUCGGGAGCAUAAUGUUGAUCACUUGAAAUAUUCAAUACAGGGUUGCUUUUAGAGUGAGGAAUCACAACCUUUGGAUUGGCAUUAAAAGUAGGAGCUUCACGCGGGGGUGGCGCUGUAAAAGUAUGAACAACAUAUGGAGCCGAGUAAGUGGUAGUUUUGUGUUGAGGAGUGAGGAAAGGAAUAUUGGAAGUGUUUAAAUAGUGUUGCCCCGGUGUAGUCCCUAAUGCAUGUUGUGGCAUGUCAACAAAAAUGAAAAAUUGUGCAUAUGACACGGGAGGCAAGCUAGAAAUAUAUUCCAGAUUAUCAGUAGGAACUGGAGGAGGCGGCAACCCAUUAGACCAAGCUCGAUCCAUUUCUAUCAUUUGUUUCCUUAAUUUUCGAAUCUCUUCAUUAUCUCCUGAAUUCUCAUUCCCCGAAAUCCCUGUCGAAUUAGUGACAAUAAACUCGGUAUCCUUGUUGGCCAUAACUUUCUCUUUGACUUGGUGUAAUAUGGAGGACCAGCCAAAAUGCCACAAAUCAACCACCUUAAACAAACUGAACAAGAGAUAGUAAAUGUGUUAGAGUUCAACACUUUCUCAAAAUCUCUCCUUUUUUUUUAAAAGAUCACCGAACCCAAGAAGGGCGCUUACGUAUCUCACAUCCCAAAAUAGGAGAAUCAGGUGUGCGUAGUUCGUGAAAUUUGGCCACAAAAUGACCGAUCAACUCUCUUUCUUUUUCUCUUUUUUUUUUAAACUUUGAGAAGAAAAGAAAUAAUAAAUUGUCAAAAGAAUUGACGAAAAUCUUUUUUGUAUUUUACAAGUUAAAACUCCCUAUAAAAAAUGAAACCUAUGAUUACCAAAGAAAAAUCUUUUUGGUUUCGAUUUUUAAUAUCAUACGACAAUGGAACUUAAAAUUAUUAAAGAAAAAUCUUUUUGUAGCUUUUAAAGAUGUCUACGACACCUACUCUAAAUGAAGAGUGAAAAAAAAUAUUUUUUGAUUUUUGAAAUAAGAUCUACCAAAAAUGAAACCUACGACUAUUGAGGAAAAUCUUUUUUUUUUUUGUAUUUUUCUUUUCAAGACAUGUAUGAAACACCUACUCUAAAUGAAGAGUGAAGAAAAUCUUUUUGAAUUUUUAAAUAAGAUCCCCGAACCUAUAAUAGGCUGCCUACGUAUCUCACUCCCGAGAGAGGAGAAUCAGGGGUAUGUAGUUCGUCCAGAUUGGACAAUUAAUGAUUAAAUAACAGAUUGCACCCUGACUUGAGACACGACUAAGACACACGAUGAACAACAUAAAUUUUUUUUUUUUGAUUUUUCAAUUUGACACUUCAUAUAAAAACUGACACCAACAGCUAUGAAAGAAAUUUUUUUUGGUAUUUUUGUUAUAUGAAAUGUACAAAACUUCUACCACCUUUUUUUAGAAUUUUUCUUCUAUAAAAAGCUCCUGAAAAAAUCUUUUUGAAGUUUUCGAAUUGUGAAUGCUUGAUAAAGGAAACAAAAGGAAAAAAAAUUUUGAUCAUUUUUUUUUAUUUUUGAAAAUAUGAGUGCAAAAAGUAAAAAAAAAUUUUUUUUUUAAAUUUUUGAAUUGUGAAAAACAAAAGCCAUAAAGAUCCUAAAAAUUACAAAACUCUUUUUGAUUCACCUUUUCUCUUUUUUCCCUUUUUUUUUCAAUGCCUACACAUCUUUCUUUAAUUCUAGCACAUGCUUUCCCCAAAUCAGCCCGUCAAAUGACCACGUUACGCUUAGAGGUGCAACAUUUAGCACGUAGGGAUGUUUUAAAGGUGAGUCUCCUAUAAAGGACUGAGUGGGCCCCGCUAGGUCUCAAUAUGAUGCAGAUAAACAUGACCUAAAGGCUGACCUACGUUGUGGUUCACUAACAAGGCCAUUCGGGGGAGCAUAUGGUCGAUAGUGGCUGCUUUGCUUUCCACCUACUCCAUACAUCCAAUGGCUCCCCCUCCUAAAAUAAGGGUGACUCAACUAGAGUUUGUGAGCACGACGUGCACUCCGGGACUUGUUGCAGAAAGAUUGACUCGGGUUAUGCAUAUGAUGCCAGAUAUAAAGUGGUAACACAGAAGAGAAAAACUGUAAACACGUAACACUCAACAAUGAUAAAAUAAAUAACAAACGAUAACACAAACAAUGUUUAUACACCCAUAAUGUCAAACUAAGCCGAUACAACUCCAAAAAUAAGGUCGAAUUCUGAAAAAUUCCCAACAGAGUUGCCAGAGCUGUCACACCCCUUUUUUACCAAAAAAAAUUGAUCUUAAAGUUUGAAAGGGUUUUUAUUAAAGUGAUAAAAAAUGAAAAUUUUGUUUUGAAAGGUUUACACUUAAACUCAGAGCCGCCACUUGGCAUUGGGUAUGCCAAGUCACCUUUGGGAAUCCUUUUUCAAAACUGUUUGACUCUUUAAACUGGUUUGCGAAUAGAGACUCCGACUAAAGAAUUUUGUUGACCAAGGGAAAGGUGCUAGGCACCCCUCGAUCUCGUGGUUUGACCACGGUCUCUUGGUGGAGAGUAUCGGCUAAAAUAACAUUACAAAUGCAUAAACCACACAAAGAACGCAAAAACAAUCACUCAAGCAAACAAAACAAAAUAAUCCAAAAUAUAAUGUCCAGUCCAAUUAUUAUAAACCCAAAAUAAAAGGUACCGAAAUAAUCCUAUGCUAAUCCUAAAUGACCUUCAACACUUUACCCGAUGCCUCAGGCCUUGAUCACGAACGUCCUCCGGGUACAAAAUACUUCGGGACAUUCCCUAGAUAAAUCAAUACAAAUCUCUCGAGGCAUUCCCCAACCAAAUGAAUACAUUUUUAGUGCGAGAAAAUCAAACUAUUCAACAAAAUUUCAAACUUUCCACGGAAUUUCCAACAUCCAACCAAAGCCACAAAUUCUAAACUUUGCCUACACAACCUAUGUUUGCCUAUAUCAAUCGACCUAUCAUGAUACUAUCAAGUUCAAUUAACAUUAAUGAAUAAAAACAACAAUAUGCACUUUAUCAACUUUCAACUACCGUCCCAAUUUUAUUUACCUCAAACGAAUUCAAGUCAUUAUCAACCAAUUAAUCAAUUCAAGUGACCUAUUAAUCAACAUUCAUGAUCCGAACAACACCAAAUCAAAAAAAUCAAGAUCCACACAUUAUCAAUUCACCACAUAAGGUAUCAAACGAUAAAGAUUAAUCAAAAAUUGGGAUGAAAAAUAGACCUCAAUUUUAUUCCGAACACUUAGCAAUGGAUUCGGAGAUCACGAAUCCAGACCUCAAUUCAACGAACUCAACAUGGACCCAACAACUCGAUCAAACCCAAAGAAAUGAGCAUACCCAAAAGACCAACGAUUCAAACUAAAAUUUGCGGACUAUUUUGUUCCUCUACUUACUGGAGAUCACAAACUGGACCUCAUCGAACCUCAACCAAAUGGCCAAAAUUGAGUCAAAUUUUACCUCGAAUUGGAGAUUUCAACCCCGAGAUCUGUUCUACCCAAACCCGAUGGUUUUCCCGAUGAGUUUUUGGAGUUGGGAUCGAUUAAUCGACUAUUUUUUGUUGUUGUUUCAACAUUUUAGGAUGGGAUAGAACUGAUAGCUUCACCGAAGCUCUGGAAAGCUCAGAGGUAGCCGAAAUUGAGAACGUGACUAGCGGUGAUGAAGUUUUCCGAUGAAAACUCGUCUAAAUUUCCUUUCGCAUAUUUCUUCCUUGUUUUUUCUCUAAUCUCUCCCUCCCUGAUCUCUUUUUUUCUCAAAUAUCUCCCACCCCGAUCUCGUUCUCUCUCUUUCUCCAUUCGAUUUCACUUUCUUUCUCGAUUGAAAUUAUGUGUGUCUGUGUAUUCUUCUGAGAGUGAAGGAAAAAAUGGAGAUUUCUCUUGUGUUAUCUCUCCCUUUCUAUGCAUAAAUGAGGUGUUAUCGUGAAGGAAUAGAGUGAGGUGAGUGUGUACGUGUAUGGUGGAAGAAGACGAUGGUGCGGAGAAGAAACUGUGUGUUGUGUGCGUAUUCAGUGAAGUCCCCGAAAAAGAAUCAGUCGUGAUGUCUUUAUUGUGGAAGAAUGGAGUCAAUCAGUGGGCCCCCCUAGUAUGCUAAUAUCACGGUGAGGUCCAUUUUUGUAGCAUGUGUAUUGUGUAAAAAUUGAAAUUCCCAUGGGG